Molecule: ribosomal RNA, 203 nt
Filed under: Citrobacter sp. CK189
Lineage: Bacteria; Pseudomonadati; Pseudomonadota; Gammaproteobacteria; Enterobacterales; Enterobacteriaceae
Also listed under: 3 other names
Description: partial 23S ribosomal RNA
Rfam family: Bacterial large subunit ribosomal RNA
Source: RNAcentral
AUAUUCCUGUACUUGGUGUUACUGCGAAGGGGGGACGGAGAAGGCUAUGUCGGCCGGGCGACGGUUGUCCCGGUUUAAGCGUGUAGGUGUGUGCUCCAGGCAAAUCCGGUGCACUUUAACACUGAGGCGUGAUGACGAGGCACUACGGUGCUGAAGUGACAAAUGCCCUGCUUCCAGGAAAAGCCUCUAAGCAUCAGGUAACA